RNAcentral lists this ribosomal RNA (477 nucleotides) under uncultured bacterium. Its description in RNAcentral is "partial 16S ribosomal RNA". It matches the Rfam family "Bacterial small subunit ribosomal RNA", at positions 28 to 506 of the family's 1533-position model. The record is from RNAcentral.
GAUGAACGCUGGCGGCGUGCUUAACACAUGCAAGUCGAACGGGAAACCUUUUAAUGAAGCUUCGGCAGAUUUAGCUGGUUUCUAGUGGCGGACGGGUGAGUAACGCGUGGGUAACCUGCCUUAUACAGGGGGAUAACAGUCAGAAAUGACUGCUAAUACCGCAUAAGCGCACCGGACCGCAUGGUCCGGUGUGAAAAACUCCGGUGGUAUAAGAUGGACCCGCGUUGGAUUAGCUUGUUGGUGGGGUAACGGCUCACCAAGGCGACGAUCCAUAGCCGGCCUGAGAGGGUGAACGGCCACAUUGGGACUGAGACACGGCCCAGACUCCUACGGGAGGCAGCAGUGGGGAAUAUUGCACAAUGGGGGAAACCCUGAUGCAGCGACGCCGCGGGAAGGAAGAAGUAUCUCGGUAUGUAAACUUCUAUCAGCAGGGAAGAUAGUGAAGGUACCUGACUAAGAAGCCCCGGCUAACUACGU